Molecule: ribosomal RNA, 279 nt
Filed under: uncultured Flavobacteriales bacterium
Lineage: Bacteria; Pseudomonadati; Bacteroidota; Flavobacteriia; Flavobacteriales
Description: partial 16S ribosomal RNA
Rfam family: Bacterial small subunit ribosomal RNA
Source: RNAcentral
CGCGGUACUACGGAGGGUGCAAGCGUUAUCCGGACUUAUUGGGUUUAAGGGUCCGUAGCGGGUUAUUAAGUCAGUGGUGAAAUCUCAUAGCUCAACUAUGAAACUGCCAUUGAUACUGAUAGUCUUGAGUAUAUUUGAAGUACUGGAAUAAGUAUGUACGGUGAAAUGCAUAGAUAUUACUUAGAACACCAAUAGCGAAGGCAGGUUACUAAGAUAUUACUGACGCUGAGGGACGAAGCGUAGGAGCGAACAGGAUUAAUACCCUGGUAGUCAAGGGCG